AACGUACGCUGGCGGCACGCCUAACACAUGCAAGUCGAACGAAGUAGCAAUACUUAGUGGCAGACGGGUGAGUAACAUGUAGGUAUCUGCCCUUUGGCCUGGAAUAACACGAGGAAACUUGUGCUAAUACCGGAUAAGUCUUUACGGAGAAAGCUUUAUGCACCAUUGGAUGAGCCUGCACUUGAUUAGUUUGUUGGUGGGGUAAUGGCCUACCAAGACUGUGAUCAAUAGCUGAUUUGAGAGGAUGAUCAGCCACAUUGGGACUGAGACACGGCCCAAACUCCUACGGGAGGCAGCAGUGGGGAAUCUUGCACAAUGGAGGAAACUCUGAUGCAGCGAUGCCGCGUGAGUGAAGAAGGCCCUUGGGUUGUAAAGCUCUUUCGUCGGGGAAGAAAAUGACUGUACCCGAAUAAGAAGGUCCGGCUAACUUCGUGCCAGCAGCCGCGGUAAUACGAAGGGACCUAGCGUAGUUCGGAAUUACUGGGCUUAAAGAGUUCGUAGGUGGUUGAAAUAGUUGGUGGUGAAAUCCCAGAGCUUAACUCUGGAACUGCCAUCAAAACUUUUCAGCUAGAGUAUGAUAGAGGAAAGCAGAAUUUCUAGUGUAGAGGUGAAAUUCGUAGAUAUUAGAAAGAAUACCAAUUGCGAAGGCAGCUUUCUGGAUCAUUACUGACACUGAGGAACGAAAGCAUGGGUAGCGAAGAGGAUUAGAUACCCUCGUAGUCCAUGCCGUAAACGAUGUGUGUUAGACGUUGGAAAUUUAUUUUCAGUGUCGCAGGGAAACCGAUAAACACACCGCCUGGGGAGUACGACCGCAAGGUUA
RNAcentral lists this ribosomal RNA (820 nucleotides) under uncultured marine bacterium. Its description in RNAcentral is "bacterial SSU rRNA". It matches the Rfam family "Bacterial small subunit ribosomal RNA", at positions 28 to 896 of the family's 1533-position model. The record is from RNAcentral.